GACGAACGCUGGCGGCGUGCCUAACACAUGCAAGUCAACGAGAAAAGGGUAGCAAUAUCCUGAGUAAAGUGGCGCACGGGUGAGUAACACGUAGGUAAUCUGCCAUUAGGACGGGGACAACCACGCGAAAGCGUGGCUAAUACCCGAUGAAUCAGCGGCGCCGCAUGGCGUUGUUGUUAAAUACCGCAAGGUGCCUGGUGAUGAACCUGCGUCCCAUUAGGUAGUUGGUGAGGUAACGGCUCACCAAGCCGACGAUGGGUAGCUGGUCUGAGAGGAUGAUCAGCCACACUGGAACUGAGACACGGUCCAGACUCCUACGGGAGGCAGCAGUGAGGAAUAUUGCGCAAUGGCCGAAAGGCUGACGCAGCGACGCCGCGUG
Molecule: ribosomal RNA, 379 nt
Filed under: uncultured bacterium
Lineage: Bacteria
Description: bacterial SSU rRNA
Rfam family: Bacterial small subunit ribosomal RNA
Source: RNAcentral